Molecule: transfer RNA, 76 nt
Filed under: Rhizobium rosettiformans W3
Lineage: Bacteria; Pseudomonadati; Pseudomonadota; Alphaproteobacteria; Hyphomicrobiales; Rhizobiaceae
Also listed under: 1 other name
Description: tRNA-His
Rfam family: tRNA
About the family: Transfer RNA (tRNA) molecules are approximately 80 nucleotides in length. Their secondary structure includes four short double-helical elements and three loops (D, anti-codon, and T loops).
Source: RNAcentral
GCCGCCCUUAGCAUAUCCGGUUAAUGCGCCCGUCUGUGACACGGGAGAAGAGGGUUCAAGUCCCCAGGCGGUUCCA